UACGUAGGUGGCAAGCGUUAUCCGGAAUUAUUGGGCGUAAAGCGCGCGUAGGCGGUUUUUAUGAUGAUGUGAAAGAACCCCACGGCUCAACCGUGGAGGGUCAUUGGAAACUGGAAAACUUGAGUGCAGAAGAGGAAAGUGGAAUUCCAUGUGUAGCGGUGAAAUGCGCAGAGAUAUGGAGGAACACCAGUGGCGAAGGCGACUUUCUGGUCUGUAACUGACGCUGAUGUGCGAAAGCGUGGGGAUCAAACAGGAUUAGAUACCCGCGUAGUCC
This 274-nucleotide ribosomal RNA is filed under the name uncultured bacterium. Its description in RNAcentral is "partial 16S ribosomal RNA". It matches the Rfam family "Bacterial small subunit ribosomal RNA", at positions 524 to 796 of the family's 1533-position model. The record is from RNAcentral.